Non-coding RNA from Pelobates cultripes (western spadefoot toad), 263 nucleotides. NCBI's taxonomy places the organism in Eukaryota, Metazoa, Chordata, Amphibia, Anura, Pelobatidae. The record is from the annotation of a GenBank genome assembly.
AAUGAUUUUCAUAGACACAGUCUGUUCUACACUACGAUGACAAACAGCUAAAUACUUUGCCAAUUUGGGAAAAGUGUCAAAUCCAGCCACUUUGGAUUCAAAUAAACAAAAACGUACAUUCAUACACAUGAAGACGUUUAACCAGGAAAGAUAAAAUUGUGAAAUAGACACUCUAGAUCUAGACUCUAGAAGAUGACAUAACCGCAGCCUCCACUCUUUUAAAUUAGUUUUGUAGAUAACACAUUGAUAUGCAAAAUAAAAAC